This 465-nucleotide ribosomal RNA is filed under the name Vreelandella stevensii. Its description in RNAcentral is "partial 16S ribosomal RNA". It matches the Rfam family "Bacterial small subunit ribosomal RNA", at positions 338 to 795 of the family's 1533-position model. The record is from RNAcentral. Lineage: Bacteria; Pseudomonadati; Pseudomonadota; Gammaproteobacteria; Oceanospirillales; Halomonadaceae.
CCUAUGGUAGGCUGCAGUGGGGAAUAUUGGACAAUGGGCGAAAGCCUGAUCCAGCCAUGCCGCGUGUGUGAAGAAGGCCUUCGGGUUGUAAAGCACUUUCAGUGGGGAAGAAAGCCUUGGGGCUAAUACCCUCGAGGAAGGACAUCACCCACAGAAGAAGCACCGGCUAACUCCGUGCCAGCAGCCGCGGUAAUACGGAGGGUGCGAGCGUUAAUCGGAAUUACUGGGCGUAAAGCGCGCGUAGGCGGUCUGAUAAGCCGGUUGUGAAAGCCCCGGGCUCAACCUGGGAACGGCAUCCGGAACUGUCAGGCUAGAGUGCAGGAGAGGAAGGUAGAAUUCCCGGUGUAGCGGUGAAAUGCGUAGAGAUCGGGAGGAAUACCAGUGGCGAAGGCGGCCUUCUGGACUGACACUGACGCUGAGGUGCGAAAGCGUGGGUAGCAAACAGGAUUAGAUACCCCUGUAGUC